This 494-nucleotide ribosomal RNA is filed under the name uncultured bacterium. Its description in RNAcentral is "partial 16S ribosomal RNA". It matches the Rfam family "Bacterial small subunit ribosomal RNA", at positions 28 to 507 of the family's 1533-position model. The record is from RNAcentral.
GACGAACGCUGGCGGCGUGCUUAACACAUGCAAGUCGAACGGAGAAGCGCUGUCCUUUUUGGUGGGUGGGGAGGAGUGGCGGAGGGGUGAGCAACACGUGAGUAACCUGCCCUCUUCUUCUGGAUAACCGCAUGAAAGUGUGGCUAAUACGGGAUAUUCUGGGUCUGUCGCAUGAUGGGUCUGGGAAAGAUUUUGUUUCGGUGGGGGAUGGGUUCGCGCCCUAUCUGCUUGUUGGUGGGGUGAUGGCCUACCAAGGCGGUGACGGGUAGCCGGCCUGGGAGGGUGGACGGCCCUAGAGGGGAGGCGACGCCGCCAGGACUGCGAGAGGCGGCAGCAGGGGAGAGUAGGCAACAGGGGGGAGCAGGCCGCAGCAGCGACGCGUCGGGGGGGAUGGAGGCCGGCGGGUUAUGACCCUCUUUGGGGAGUGAAGCAAUGCUGCCUCGGUUGUGGGUGGGUUGACGGUAGCUGGAUAAGAAGCACCGGCUAACUACGUG